RNAcentral lists this ribosomal RNA (467 nucleotides) under uncultured bacterium. Its description in RNAcentral is "bacterial SSU rRNA". It matches the Rfam family "Bacterial small subunit ribosomal RNA", at positions 355 to 825 of the family's 1533-position model. The record is from RNAcentral.
UGGGGAAUUUUGGACAAUGGGUGAGAGCCUGAUCCAGCCAUGCCGCGUGCAGGAAGAAGGCGUUAUGCGUUGUAAACUGCUUUUUGCCAGGGGAUAAAAAGGCCGUGCGCGGUUAAUUGAAGGUACCUGGUGAAUAAGCCACGGCUAACUACGUGCCAGCAGCCGCGGUAAUACGUAGGUGGCAAGCGUUGUCCGGAUUUAUUGGGUUUAAAGGGUGCGUAGGUGGCCCUGUAAGUCAGUGGUGAAAUAUCUCAGCUUAACUGAGAGGGUGCCAUUGAUACUGCAGGGCUUGAGUACAGAUGAGGUAGGCGGAAUUGACGGUGUAGCGGUGAAAUGCAUAGAUAUCGUCAAGAACACCGAUAGCGAAGGCAGCUUACCAAGCUGUAACUGACACUGAGGCACGAAAGUGUGGGGAUCAAACAGGAUUAGAUACCCGCGUAGUCCCUGAGCGGGCUGGCAAGGCGCAU